CGCUGCAAGGAUAAAAACACGUCCCGGUAGGUAGUCCGGGAGUACCUUUUGGGUAUCAGUAACCUGCCUCCUUUGGUUGUCCGUUCCCUGCACGGAAGAU
Non-coding RNA from Oscillibacter valericigenes Sjm18-20, 100 nucleotides. The record is from Rfam. NCBI's taxonomy places the organism in Bacteria, Bacillati, Bacillota, Clostridia, Eubacteriales, Oscillospiraceae.